UACGUAGGGUGCAAGCGUUAAUCGGAAUUACUGGGCGUAAAGCGUGCGCAGGCGGUUUUGUAAGUCUGACGUGAAAUCCCCGGGCUCAACCUGGGAAUUGCGUUGGAGACUGCAAGGCUAGAAUCUGGCAGAGGGGGGUAGAAUUCCACGUGUAGCAGUGAAAUGCGUAGAGAUGUGGAGGAACACCGAUGGCGAAGGCAGCCCCCUGGGUCAAGAUUGACGCUCAUCCACGAAAGCGUGGGGAGCAAACAGG
This 253-nucleotide ribosomal RNA is filed under the name uncultured bacterium. RNAcentral describes it as "partial 16S ribosomal RNA". It matches the Rfam family "Bacterial small subunit ribosomal RNA", at positions 524 to 776 of the family's 1533-position model. The record is from RNAcentral.